UUGGGGAAUGAUGUUUGCCACCUGUGAGGAGGAGAGAAAAGAAAUACACACACAGGAUACCUGUAUCUGUAACACCCCACCUGAAGAAAUCUUCACCAGACCACACGUACCUCGAGGGGGCAAAGGUUGAGUUUAGAUCACAAAAACCUCAGUAUAAGCUAAGGUUGUAAUGGUUGUUGAAUUCCUAACCAUACCACGUGGUGCAUUGGCUACACGGGUGGAAAUGGUUAAACGCAGAGGCUAUCGAUCCUGACAGAAUAAGAGCAAAUCUUAGAUACUAAUUACUAGUCUGCAGCUAGAAAUGAUGUCAACCUGGAAUGCGAAGACCGACACCCGCCAAAACAUCUAUUCUAUAAGAACAUUUCUGAAUGGAACUCUGAAGUAUCGGUUCUAACCACGAAAGUCUUCAGGGAAGCAGAGAGGCGCUCGGAUGAACUUUCCAACAGAAGGACUGACGAUUCCAACAGAGGUCACGACGGCACACUGGGGAGGCCCUCUGAGUCCUGGAGAGUAAAGAAGAACAACUCCCAGCAUUUCAGCUUCAACACAAACUCUGUUCCCUGCAUCUCUACUGCUGCUGCUGGCAGCUGCCUCCUGUGUCUGCUGUGAUAUUGAACUCAUCCAUUCUGGUCCAGUGGUUAUAAAACCAGGAGUGACUUUCAGCAUCUCCUGAAAUUCUCUGGGUUUUCUAUAUCUUCUUACUGUCCUCACUGGAUAUGACAAGCUGAAGGCAAAGCAUUGGAGCAUGUUGGUUAUACAUGCAGUAGUAGUACUAGUAGUACCACUGUAGAUGCACUAAAUAGCAAGAUCAGUUCUAGUUAUUACUUGGAAAUGUAUUUUGAGUGUUGGACUAGUAACCGAAAGGUUCCAUGUUCAAAUCCCUGAGCUGACAGUUUACAAAUCUGUCGUUCUGCCCCUGAACAGGCAGUUAACCCACUGUUCCUAGGCCAUCAUUGAAAAUAAGAAUUUGUUCUUAACUGACUUGCCUAGUUAAAUACAGGUAAAAUAAAAUAUAAAUUCUGACUGAA
This is a long non-coding RNA of Oncorhynchus nerka (sockeye salmon), 1028 nucleotides long. RefSeq lists it as uncharacterized. The record is from RefSeq and is a predicted model, not a curated record. The transcript is spliced from 3 exons. NCBI's taxonomy places the organism in Eukaryota, Metazoa, Chordata, Actinopteri, Salmoniformes, Salmonidae.